Non-coding RNA from Pelobates cultripes (western spadefoot toad), 220 nucleotides. The record is from the annotation of a GenBank genome assembly. Lineage: Eukaryota; Metazoa; Chordata; Amphibia; Anura; Pelobatidae.
CUCCCUUUUUCCUCAAAGCUUCUGGAAAGACUCGUCUUUACCCGUGUGUCUCAUUUCCUCAAUUACAACUCUCUCCUUGACCCCCUUCAAUCUGGCUUCCGCCCUCUCCACUCUACAGAGACUGCCCUUAUCAAAGUUACUAACGACCUAAUCGCAGCUAAAUCCAAAGGCCACUACUCCAUACUAAUUCUUCUUGACCUCUCGGCGGCCUUUGACACCG